Molecule: transfer RNA, 72 nt
Filed under: Caudoviricetes sp.
Lineage: Duplodnaviria; Heunggongvirae; Uroviricota; Caudoviricetes
Description: tRNA-Gln
Rfam family: tRNA
About the family: Transfer RNA (tRNA) molecules are approximately 80 nucleotides in length. Their secondary structure includes four short double-helical elements and three loops (D, anti-codon, and T loops).
Source: RNAcentral
CCUGUUAGUUUAAUGGUAAAACAACGGACUUUGACUCCGUCAUUAUUGGUUCAAUUCCAAUACAGGUUGCCA